UUGACCUCGGAUCAGGUAGGGAUACCCGCUGAACUUAAGCAUAUCAAUAAGCGGAGGAAAAGAAACCAACAGGGAUUGCCCUAGUAACGGCGAGUGAAGCGGCAACAGCUCAAAUUUGAAAUCUGGCGCAAGCCCGAGUUGUAAUUUGUAGAGGAUGCUUCAGGGCAGCGGCCGGUCUAAGUUCCUUGGAACAGGACGUCAUAGAGGGUGAGAAUCCCGUAUGCGACCGGUUGGCACCCGUCACGUAGCUCCUUCGACGAGUCGAGUUGUUUGGGAAUGCAGCUCUAAAUGGGAGGUAAAUUUCUUCUAAAGCUAAAUACCGGCCAGAGACCGAUAGCGCACAAGUAGAGUGAUCGAAAGAUGAAAAGCACUUUGGAAAGAGAGUUAAAAAGCACGUGAAAUUGUUGAAAGGGAAGCGCAUGCAACCAGACUUGUCGGCGGUGUUCCGCCGGUCUUCUGACCGGUCUACUCGCCGCCGGCAGGCCAGCAUCAUCUGGGUGCGCCGGACAAAGGCGCGGGGAAUGUAGCUCCUCGGAGUGUUAUAGCCCCGCGCACAAUACGGCGCCGCCCGGGUGAGGUCCGCGCUUCGGCUAGGAUGCUGGCGUAAUGGUUGUAUGCGGCCCGUCUUGAAACACGGACCAAGGAGUCUAACAUCUAUGCGAGUGUUCGGGUGUCAAACCCCUACGCGGAAUGAAAGUGAACGGAGGUGGGAAGCGCAAGCUGCACCAUCGACCGAUCCUGAUGUCUUCGGAUGGAUUUGAGUAAGAGCAUAGCUGUUGGGACCCGAAAGAUGGUGAACUAUGCCUGAAUAGGGUGAAGCCAGAGGAAACUCUGGUGGAGGCUCGCAGCGGUUCUGACGUGCAAAUCGAUCGUCAAAUUUGGGUAUAGGGGCGAAAGACUAAUCGAACCAU
Molecule: ribosomal RNA, 911 nt
Filed under: Teratosphaeria dimorpha
Lineage: Eukaryota; Fungi; Ascomycota; Dothideomycetes; Mycosphaerellales; Teratosphaeriaceae
Description: eukaryotic LSU rRNA
Rfam family: Eukaryotic large subunit ribosomal RNA
Source: RNAcentral